UGGGGGAUUUUGCACAAUGGGCGCAAGCCUGAUGCAGCGACGCCGCGUGAGGGAUGAAGGCCUUCGGGUUGUAAACCUCUUUCGCUGGGUUGAAAGGCCAUGCUUUGGGUGUGGUUGAUUUGAACUGGUAAAGAAGUACCGGCUAACUACGUGCCAGCAGCCGCGGUAAUACGUAGGGUACUAGCGUUGUCCGGAUUUAUUGGGCGUAAAGGGCUUGUAGGUGGUUUGUCGCGUCUGUCGUGAAAUCCUGUGGCUUAACCAUGGGCUUGCGGUGGGUACGGGCAGGCUUGAGUGCGGUAGGGGAGACUGGAAUUCCUGGUGUAGCAGUGGAAUGCGCAGAUAUCAGGAGGAACACCGGUGGCGAAGGCGGGUCUCUGGGCCGUUACUGACACUGAGGAGCGAAAGCGUGGGGAGCGAACAGG
Molecule: ribosomal RNA, 422 nt
Filed under: Fusobacteriota bacterium
Lineage: Bacteria; Fusobacteriati; Fusobacteriota
Description: Fusobacteria bacterium partial 16S ribosomal RNA
Rfam family: Bacterial small subunit ribosomal RNA
Source: RNAcentral